GCAUAUCAAUAAGCGGAGGAAAAGAAACUAACAAGGAUUCCCCUAGUAACGGCGAGUGAAGCGGGAAGAGCACAAAUUUUAAAUCUACCUGGGUUUACUAGGUCGAGUUGUAAUUUGAAGAAACGUUUUUAAUGUUCCGGGUUGGUUUAAAUCCUUUGGGAUAAGGUAUCAUGGAGGGUGAGAAUCCCGUGUAUAUCAACCGCUGGGAUGUCAUUAAUACGUUCUCUAAGAGUCGAGUUGUUUGGGAAUGCAGCUCUAAAUGGGUGGUAAAUUUCACCUAAUGCUAAAUAUAAGCGAGAGACCGAUAGCGAACAAGUACCGUGAGGGAAAGAUGAAAAGUACUUUGAAAAGAGAGUUAAAUAGUACGUGAAAUUGUUGAAAGGGAAACGAUUGAAGUCAGUCAUGCCGGCGGGAAUCAAUUUUGAGGAAGGGGGAUUUUUUGAACCUAACCUUGAAAUGCACUUCUUCGCUUGGCAGGUUAGCGUCGAUUUUGAACGUCAUAAAAUGAUUGGGGGAAGGUAGCUCUUUCGGGAGUGUUAUAGCCCUUAAUUAAUGUGAUGUUUGGGAUCGAGGAUUGCAACGGAUACCUUUUAGGCUAGCCGCCUGGUCUCUGAUUCGAUGUCGGGUUAUAGACAGCACGCUGACUAUGAUUUGAUUAUUGGUCAAAAGGUUAGAGCGAGCAUAAAUUCGUUAAGGACGCUGACGUAAUGGCUUUAAACGAC
Molecule: ribosomal RNA, 722 nt
Filed under: uncultured Scutellospora
Lineage: Eukaryota; Fungi; Glomeromycota; Glomeromycetes; Diversisporales; Gigasporaceae
Description: eukaryotic LSU rRNA
Rfam family: Eukaryotic large subunit ribosomal RNA
Source: RNAcentral